This 492-nucleotide ribosomal RNA is filed under the name uncultured bacterium. RNAcentral describes it as "partial 16S ribosomal RNA". It matches the Rfam family "Bacterial small subunit ribosomal RNA", at positions 29 to 507 of the family's 1533-position model. The record is from RNAcentral.
AGUGAACGCUGGCGGUAGGCCUAACACAUGCAAGUCGAACGGCGGCACAGUAAGAGCUUGCUCUUACGGGUGGCGAGUGGCGGACGGGUGAGGAAUACAUCGGAAUCUACUUUUUCGUGGGGGAUAACGUAGGGAAACUUACGCUAAUACCGCAUACGACCUACGGGUGAAAGCAGGGGAUCUUCAGACCUUGCGCGAUUGAAUGAGCCGAUGUCGGAUUAGCUAGUUGGCGGGGUAAAGGCCCACCAAGGCGACGAUCCGUAGCUGGUCUGAGAGGAUGAUCAGCCACACUGGAACUGAGACACGGUCCAGACUCCUACGGGAGGCAGCAGUGGGGAAUAUUGGACAAUGGGCGCAAGCCUGAUCCAGCCAUACCGCGUGGGUGAAGAAGGCCUUCGGGUUGUAAAGCCCUUUUGUUGGGAAAGAAAAGCAGCAGGUUAAUACCCCGCUGUUCUGACGGUACCCAAAGAAUAAGCACCGGCUAACUUCGUG